This is a long non-coding RNA of Tympanuchus pallidicinctus (lesser prairie-chicken), 15717 nucleotides long. RefSeq lists it as uncharacterized. The record is from RefSeq and is a predicted model, not a curated record. The transcript has 6 exons. NCBI's taxonomy places the organism in Eukaryota, Metazoa, Chordata, Aves, Galliformes, Phasianidae.
CUCUCAGUGUCAUUCCGAUCCCACUUUGACGGGCAGCAGAGUUUCUGCGGGGAAAAAGAAAUGUUUUGUUUGCUUCAAAUUCCCUUUUCCCUUGGAAGCGUAAACGUGAAAUUACUUUCUCCUCCUCCAUUGGGAUGUCUUAUUUAUUUUCCUGCUGGUGGCUGUUAAAGGAGACGCGGUUCAAUUAUGCCCUGGGUUGAAUUAAUGGCUCGCACAGCUCAGUGAGUGUGUUCUGGUGUGAACUUACCCAUGUGAAGGGGAUGGUGGGGCUUUCGUGGGGCAAGGGAAAGCCCUGCAGGAGGAGAGCUCCCUGCAGCCCUCUUGAAUCUGUGACAUAUGUUUGGUUGUAGGAUCCAGAGUAGACUUCACAUCUGAGCUAAGUGAAGCUUUUUAUUUUCUGACAUGCAGAGUAUGUCCAUCUCAGUCUGGACCCUAUUAGAAACUUCAGUUAGAAGUCUGCUAACUUCUCUUGAAUGCUGUCACUCAAUCACUAUCUUAUACUGGAGUCUUCAGAUGCCUUAUUUAGAGGAGCAAUGGAGUUUUACCACAAAUAACUUUUGGUUGAUUCCCCUUGCACCUACAUUUGUUCUUGUUUGUAUUCUUCUUUGUUGACAGUUCAAGCACAUAAGUACCCCCCCAAGGAGCAUCCUGAAGGACUUGUUUCCUCUUUGUCUUUCCUUAGCAUUGAAAACUGGACUGCAUUAUUUUUUACAAGCCCUGAUAAAAUAUUAGCCAUGUGAGUAAUGGAUCACGCACAGCUCGAGGUCUUCCCUGCGCCUAGAGAAUCUCUGCGGGUGGGUGGACUUUCUCUGCUUUGCUCCUGCAGGCUAGGUCUGGCUUCCAUACAGCCUCAUCUCAUACAGCUCAUCUCUCAAAUCCAUGUAGCACCAUGAGCACCCUUAACACUUCUCGGAAUGAUGACAUUGCUUCUACUUCAGGUUGAAAACUUUGGUGUGCUCUUGAGCAGCUGCUGUGUGCUGCUUUCCCAAGGACUAGAACAAGCCAAGGUGCAAAGCGGUGCUGUACUCAGUGUCUGCCCUUCCGCUCAGAUACAGGAGAAAGCAAUCCAGCAGUGGUCAUUUUUCAUCAGUAAUGAAUGAAUUUGUCUCUUUUUUAGUUCUCCCUCCAGCUUUUUGAGUUAUGUAGCUGAUACUACCAAAAAGCACUCGCUUUACUGUGGGGCCAUUGUAAACAAGCAAUGUAUUUGUUGCCAUAAGGGCACAGCAAGGUUAAAUACUAAAUACCACUAGAUGAGAUUUUGCAGACAUUUUGGUUAUGCAGAGCCAUGAAAGCGCCUGAGGCUGUCAUCAGAUCCAUCUGGAAUCCAUAAUCAGGAUAAGUGAGAUGAUUGUCUUUGCUUUUCAUAAUUUGAGGAGUGACUCCCAACUAUUUCCCAUAAUGUCCUGGUGAAACUUCCAUUUUGUGGAUGCAGCUAGGCAGCCUCUGCUUGCUUUGAUUUUAUUUCAUGGCAUUUUUCUCUUGUCUUUGCUUUAUGUUUAUAGUUGCCAGCAUAGUGGCUGCUAUUUUUAAGGAUUUUUUUUCCCUUGCGUGCUUGCUUUAAAAUGAUUUGUUAGUAUACAGUAUGAUGUAUUUUAAAUGGCUAAAGAGCACACCGGGUGUAGAUUCAAUAUAAAUUGAUUUGAGACUGCAGCAACCACAGUACCUUCAUCUACUCAAACCAGAAGAGGUCAUAGUUUCUAAAGUAGUGAGUGUGAGCACCUGAGAAAUACUCACUAUUGGUCAAGUUUAGACAACAGCCUGUAGAAGUUAUUCUCUGGCCUGUAGCUAUUUACAGUUUUCUGCUCUUGGAAAUAAAUUCCACUCAAUUGAGGAGAAUAACUUUGUGAACCCUGGAGAGGAUGUUGCAUUGGGAACCUGUGUAAGCAUAAUCAUACAGCACUUGUUAAAACAGGAGAACCCCAAAAAGGCUUCAGCUGCACAAGGGGUGGGAGGAGCUCACAAGUGCUGCUAAGGGCAAUGGGCUCUAAAUUUCAGCUCUGUUCUCCAGUCCACAGGGGCAAUUCUUCUUAACCCGAUCCCAAAGUCUACUGCAAACUGUUGUAUUUCAGAGCCCUUGGGAGAGUGUUUCACAAGAUGGAGAUUAGAAAGCAAGAACAGCAAACUGGAAAGUGCUUCGUGGUGUCUCUUUAACAGCUUAGGAUUGAUUCAUUUUAGUAUUUGUGUCUGGGUCUUAUUCACUGCUGCCUCAUAGAUCAAUGGCAUGACGGAGUCCCAGCUCGUGUUGAUGCAGCAUAUGGGAAUGGGAUCCAUUAUCUUUAGUUCCCAGGACUAUAAAAUGUCCAAUAAACUCAGCAGCAAGAACGCCGGAUUUGUGCACCUCCACCAGCUGCUGUAGCGUUGCUGCCUAUUAAGCUGUGUUUUUAGUUUCAUUAUUGAUGGGGAAUGCUGAUAGCUGAGCAAAUGAUGUUGCUUGCAGAUUUGAGGCACUUUCCCUGCUUAUAAAGGUAACUCCUGCUACGGUGCCUCCUCUUGCCGGGGGAGGAGGGCUGCAUGCUGCAGUGAGAAAUCAAUUUAAAUUAGCAUGGGCACAGCCAAUCCGUAGUGAUGUCAGCAGCUCAAGCUGGUUGCAGGAAUCUGAGCAGCAAGGCUAAGCGCCUCAGUCUCCAAUGCUCAUCCUUGCCACAGACCCCAGGCAGGGCAUCCCUGUGCACAUUUGCUGUUCCAGCAUCACUCUCAGUCUCUUCCCUGGCUGUUUAUGUUGCAGUUUGACUUUCCCCUGCUUUUCCCACCCCUGCUGAACCUUUGGAAUAAAUUCCGUAAUUGCUCUGAAAAUGGUGCAAAACCUGAGCUUGCCUACAGAAGUUGCUGUGGUGGAGUUGUGAGCAGCUCUCAAUUCCAUUUCACUUGUUUCCUGCACAUUGCCACCACAGGCACACUGCAGUUCCACUCCAGAAUCAGCUUUUAUUGCUUUCUUUACUCCUCUGGGAAACAGAGAUCAAGAACAGCUAUGGCAAGUUAGCCAAUAUCUUCAGCCUCUAGCAUCAUUAGUGUAGGUAAGCAUUGUAAUGGAAGCCAGCUCUUAUUAAUCCACUGAAUGUUGAUUCCUACAAACAAUCUCCAGGUAUUGUUUCAGUGCUUACGCAGUUGACUUCCUACUGAACCAUCAGCAUCCACUCUUGAGAAGAGAAACCCAUAUUCCACAGGCAGGAUCAUUUUCUGUUCCUGGACAUCGUGGAACUGAACACGGACGCCCAGCUUCUAGUAUCAAUGUUGGUAUGAAUACAAAGGAAAACUGUCCCUCUCCUGUGCUAAGGUCUGUGCAGGUGGUGAUUAAAGUAGCUGUCACCGUGCUUGUAGCUCAGCUGCUCUUGGCUGGACGCCUGCUGUUACUGCCUGCUGCCCAUGAGUGCCUUCCUCGGGCAUCUGCACCUCUUGGUGCCUGCCAUCAACAGCUGCAGCUCUGGCAAAGUCUGAUAAACACCAGUGCGUUUCUGCCAACUUUUCUCCAAGGAGCAGAAAGGAAGACGUUCAUGUCUAGUAGAAGUUUACUUUCAAGAGUAUGGAUCAGAGAUUUUGUACAAACUACUCUCUUAAAUUAUUGAAAAUCUGCUGUAAUUACUGAGUAUUUCAAAAUAUUCUGGGGAAGAACUUCUGGGCCCAUCUGUUUUUCCCUGCCCUUCACUGCCACAUGUCCGCUCAGCUAUUAGGAGUGCUAAAGGAUGGCUUUCAUGAAAACGAGGGCAAUGACGUGUUUGACAAAAUGUGACUUCUGUGAUCCAGAGGCAGAGGAUUCAUUACUUCCAUCUAUAGUUUUUUUGCAGCUUUUCCCCCAUCUUCUUAAAAAUGUAUUCCUACCACCUCGGAUUUGUCUGUCUCGAGCUCCCAGCUAAUGGUUUUUGUUAUCUACCACAUUAAAGAGCUUCACAGUUCCCUCUGUUUCCUUUCUGUGAAGGUAAUGGUACAUUGUAAUCAAGCCACCUCUCGGUCGUCUUUUUGAUAAGCUAAACAGAUUGUGCUCUUUAUGUUUCUCACUCUAAAGCACUUUCUUCAGCUCUUAAAUCAUUUUCGUGGCACUUGCUGCAGCUUUUUUCUGUGCAGUCACCAAUUUUGUUACACCCUUAUUAAAAAAGAUGAACCUGGAGCUGAGCGCAUUGUCAGGAACUGGCCUCAUCUAGACUGCAGGCAGCCUAAAAAGCCUGUGCUUGAAUCUACCUGCAUCCCCUUCCUUGUAUACAGGGAUUAUUUCACCUCUUUAGCAUGGCUCCCCCCUGGCAACCUCAGUUCAGAUGCUUGUCCCUGUGCAGUUAGUGCACGGCUUGUCCUGCUUCCCUCAGCCUUUACACCUGUUGAUAUUUAGAGGCAGUGUUUUGGGGCAAGCUUAUUUUCCCCAUCCAUGAAUGUUCCAUUAGGCAAUGAAAUGGGAGAAAAGGAAGCCCUUGACUCAUUUAGCAUGGUUGGUACUCCCAACCCCGUCCCUGUGACAGCCCUUUUUGACCUGCCCUAUCAGCACAUUAGUGAAGUUAUUUCAAGGUAGUCCCAGAUGGAAAAUGCCUUCGCUGUCCCACUCAGUCCUAGAAAUAUCUCUGUUUGAGUCCCAGUCAGAAAUAUCUCAUGAAAUCAGUUCUUCAUCCAUCUAAUGCAAUAUUUACUGAUGUUGCAGAGUGCUCAUUUCUUAAUCACCGUGCUGCAGGGCACCAAGCGCUGCACCUGGCAGUGGGAGGAGGUGAGCCAUCGCACCAGAUCCAUCCUCAGACAGAGAAGUAUUUUUUGAGACAGGGCUUCUAUUCACAAUAAUGCUGACUGACAUUAAUUAUCACUUAGAAACCCCUGUCAGCACUUCCAUUUGGCAUAGGAAUGGUGCCAGGAGGCAGCUCCAGCAGUAGGAAUUAACGCCCAGGUCCCCAGCGGCUGCUGCGGUGUUGUCCGCGACCGCACAUUGGUGGCAGCAGCGCACGGUGUUGCCCUCCCCUUUCCAACCCCUGUCCUUCCAAUCAGGUUUGCAGACUCAAACCCUUGCUUCAUGAGCACGCAGGGUGAUUUAUAAUGGGCUUCAAGUGGGAGACGCUGGGAUGGCAGUUGCGGCGCUCCCUGCAGCUGGCCAAGCUCCCUCCCCACGCGGCGAUCUGUGUGGCCGCACAGGAGGCACUUGCCCAUUAAAAUGCUGUCAGAGAUCGUCUUUCCGACUUAAAUCAAGGCUGUCGCUUUGGUAGGCGAGGGUUUUCGAGGUGUUUGUCUCUUCAUUCGUUGGUUGUUUUUGUUUUUGUUUUUUUAUCCUGUCCUUUCCGUGUUGUUAUUGCUUCCAUUCCUUAAAGCACCGCAAAUUGCAAGCCUGUGGCUUGCCGUGAAGGCAUGCUGGUAAAUGAUUUAUAGAGGGUCCUACAAAUCAUGUUGCACUGAGCGCAACCCCUUCCCCCACAGCAACAGCCAUCAUUUCAGUGCCGCUCAGCCUUCAAGGGAGCUAAGCUGUCCUUUCCCUGCUGAGAUUUAGGAAGCCAAACAGCACAAUGCAGCUAAAAGUGAGAGUAAACAUGCCACAGUAACAGCCUGGCAUUUAAGUUUCAGCAGGGCUUAAGGUGGCCUUGCUUAUCAGUGGAAUUGUGUUAUGACACCAGCUGGCGUCCAUAUACAGUUUUGAUGCUUUUACAGGCACAAAAUAAAAGCCCAAUAUGUGAAUAGGACUUUGCAGGCUUUUACAGAAAGAGCUUUCUUCUGGGGGCUACACAUGCAGGCACUGCUCGAGUUGCCCCUGUGCUCAGAAAAGCCUGGGUGAGGGCGAAAAGCUGCACGUGGCCCAAAGUGCCCCUUGUUCCCCACUAUGGGGACAAAGGCAUGGCACAGCCUUGACUUGUUUGUAUACAGGCAUACUUCCCUGAAAGCCAUUUCUCUAAAGUCUUUGUAGUUUUGUUUUUUGUUUUUUGUUUUUUGUUUUUAAUCUCAAGCUCCUUUUCCUGCUUUACAUCAUGCUUUCCAUUUUAGAGAUGUCAGAUGAUCUGUGAUAGAGUGACAGGAUGUGCAGGAGCAGUGAGGAGACGAGGUCCAUUUUAAUGAGACUAACUCUACUGGGUAGUGCAGACCGUGCCUCGACAAGCCCUUGGAUCUUGUUUCCUUUUGCAAAGCAUCUUAAUGGCAUAAAAGGAUUUUUGCACAAAUAAGGAAAGGCAAUUCCCCAAAUAGAUUUCUUUCAGUGGCCAUUGAAAUGGAAAGCUGCCACCGAGAAUUGCAUGAUCCUCUCUAAGAGGUAAGCACAAUCAGAAAUCAGUAUUGCUUGGCUCCCAAAAAUGGACUGAAAUACUUUGGAGUUAGCAGCGUGUUUGCUGGAGGCUCACCAUUCACCCAGCAGGUCCUGCCUGCUGGCACUGAGGUGUAAUGACACAUAAUAUGGUCUGACCCAGCAUUGCUUACCUAUGACCCAUUCCUGCAGGCAGCCUGGAUGCAAAGCAGGAAGAGUGGGGACUUACAGCGAGGUGCAAGGGAAAUAUGAGAAGGCCUCACGCUGUUCUCCUGCCUUUUGUUAUUUUGUCAGCUGAUCUUCCAGGCUGUUAUUAGAAUUUCAGGCAGGCUGGGGUCAUGCUUCACACUGACUACCAGCAUCAGGUAAAUACAAAUGGACAACUAGUCCUGGUCAAAGUUGCAAGGAAGGGUUUCUAUCAAUGGUAUAUUUUUAACCUAGACACCGCUAGUUUAAUAUGUUCUGCAACAUCUACAGAGAAUCACUUUUAUGGGAUCUAUUUUUUAAAUCUUGCUUUCCAGGGAAGUACUUUUUUUUAUCUGGUAUUCUUUCCUAAGCUACUAUUGGAUUCCAGCACAUGAAUUCUAAGAUUUUCUGGGCAAUGUUGCAAAAAAGUGAGUAGAUGAACAGAAGAUGUAAAAUACUCCCAGCUGCCUAGGCCAUCCACUCUGCCUGUUCUCUACUGAAAUGCGCAUUUGGGAAUGGUCUGUUCAGGUCUGCAGGAAAUCUUAUUUAGUUAUUUUUUAGUAUUAAAUAUAUAUAUAUAUUCUGAUCUUAACUUGCAUUUCUGACUACAAAUGACUCCUGUAUUUUUUUCAGGUAGGUCCAGAAUAUCACCCCAACUGUGAUCUAUUCCGGAGCUUUCUCUCUGUACAUAAAAGUCAGAUUUAUAUAAAUAGAUGCAGGAAAUCCCAUAUAGCCAGUGAUGAGAGGAUGUUAACCAAUUUUUAAAGGCCCGAUCAGAACAACUACAGAGAAGAGGUCAAUACUAACUGUUAUUCCAAGUGUUAAUCUUAACUCCAAUAAUACUAAAUACUAAAACGGGUUCCCAGAUAAGAAUUGCAAAUCUCGCAUUUGAGAAGAAAGGAAGUGUGAUCCUAGAAAACAGAUGCAGAGCCCUCCAGAUCUCUGCAAGCAUCCAGUCUUUACGCGUUUGAUCGAUAGCUUUAGCAGUGGGACAGAUGUGUGAUGUAUUCACUUUCAGAUCUUUCUAGGGAAGGAAACAAAACAGCAUUAAAAUCUCCCGCCGCUCAUCAGUGAGUAGAUGGCAUUCUCCACGGGAGGAGCAGGAAGCCUGCCUUGUGGACAGCCAUACCUACAGGUACCUUUUUAGAUUAUGGGAAAGGCAGGAAGGUGACAAAGCUCUGCUUUCCAUUCACUGGGACAACUGGCAAGGCAAAUGAACAGGGCAGGUGGGCAUGCACCCAGAAACUGAGGAGUGCUGGGGGAACAUCAAUAUUAGAUGAUACCUGAGUUGAUGAAGCUGUGAUGGGCAGACCUGGCUCUCUCUCUUCUGACAGCUAGCAUAGAUAGCUUUUUCUGUUCUCUGUUGCACCUUUAGGGAUCCCAACCAUCACUAGCAGCAGCUUGGGGGCAAAAAAGCCCAGGGCCUUUGGGUACCACAGAUCUCAUCAACAGAUCUUCAAACAGCAGGGAAAUGCCAGAGGCCAUAUGACUUACAGUCAGUGGCAAUUACUGUCCAGUGCCAUGAAAAUUGCUUGAAGAACAAGUUAGCAGCAUCAUAGCAACCGCCUGCUUAUGGGUUCUUUGUGUCCCUCUCAGAGCCAACCAAAGCAGCCCCCAGGCUUCCAUACAACAUGAUAUGGAGGAAAUUUCGGCGAAGCAUCAAAAAAAGCCUGCCUGCAUAGUGCACCUGGCACAUCUUUGAAGCCCUGAAAGGAAGUCUCUGUGUUCUGGUAUCACUUGAGCCUGCACAAAGGAGAUGAAAAGGAGGAAUAAAACAUCUGAACAGCCCUAUCUGGCCUGAGCUGCACACAUGCAUUACAGCAAAGAUGGAUUUCUUCUGGAUCCUCCUGUGUAUCCUCCUCCUUGGGGAUGGCAGCGAGCAUUUCAACACUCCAAUUACCGGAUGUUCAUGUUAAACAGAGAAGAGGGACAGCCAGUUGGUGACAAACAUUUAGAAUAUGGCAUCAGAAGAUCUGCACAACCUGCAGAAGGACCAACUGCAGUGAUCAUCACAGCCCCGCUCCCCACAAGUCUUUGCCAUACAUCAGCUCCUAGCAGGCAGCCUCACCAGGGCUUAAAUCCCCCCAGCUGCUGCAAAAUGGGACCAGAGGCCCCAGCUUAGCUGCAUCUCAGCCCCGAGUCCUGUGGCAUGGGGCUGCACCAGGAGCACUGCUCAUGCUGACCUUUGGAGUCUGCUUGAAAGCAUCUGAUGCUCAUGGCUGAGAGACGGCACAGUCCUUUCCAACUUCCUGGAGUUUUUGCCUUUGUUUUCUUCCCCACUCAAAUGGAAAUGAAAAUGCAGGCUAAGAAAAAUGGCAUUAAUAAUACAAACUGGGGGCCCUUGGGAGAAAAUUUCAGUUUUGGAAAGUCGCUACACUACGUGGAUGUGUCUUGCUAUCAGAAGUUUACCUGGAUUUUUUUGACUCUUCAUGCAUGCAUGUAUUUCUCUGCUGCCAUGCAUGGUCCUUUCUCCUUAUUUAAUUAGGGUACAAUCAUAAGCGUAUUCUUAAAUUAGAAGAAAUAUAUAAAGAUUCAUCCAUUCAGCAGGCAUUUUUUCUGGGAAAAUACAUGUUCUCCUUCAGGUAUUGGCUUUCUUCAGUUUUGUUUCUCUGUUUUUAAUUUAAAGGAACUUCUCUUAUGUUUUAUUCACUUGUUUUCAUUAGGUAAAAGAAUGCCGUGGCAUGAAAACCUGUCCUGAAUGCACCGCCUGCUUGACAGAUAUAUACAAAGACUUGAAACCUGAGAGGAAAAGCGGAUGGUUGCAAGCAAAAAAAAAAAAAAAUCUAAACAAAAGAAUGGAAUUAAAGCCAGCACCGGGGCACGUAUUAAUACCAUGCGGCUGUCAUUGCCCGCACUGAUUCCUAGGAGCGAUGCAGAGCAUUGUGCUCAGCAGGAUAAGACUGACAGACCUCGAAUAUGAACCCCCACUGCCUUCUAAAGAGGAUUUCCCAUGGCCAGUAAGUUUUGCUCAGGAGCUCAUCCCAGAAGAGGCAGGCACAAGGCAAGGACCCAGCAUCCUGUGGCAGGCACCAGUGAGGCACUGCUGGGCUCUGCAGCUCCAUUUUCCCCCCAGCCCAGGUGAUAUUAAGCUGCUCCCAGUGGGGCUGGAAAGUCUGAAGAUGUGUGAGGAAUGGAAGAAUGGCAAACAUGAGAUUGCUGGUGAUAAAGCAAUUCUGGUAAACGUUUGGAUGAAUUUUUUUCAGAAGAUCCACUUCCCUGUCACCCCUGCCUCUCUGUGCUCUGCUGAUGUUACCCUCCGUAACAAAGAGGUCACCAGAAGGAAGAUGUGCAGGAAGGAGGACUGCUAGGUGGAUAUUCCUAAACAUCCAGCACACCGCCAACAUGCUGCAUUAGUUCUGGGCCUGAGCAGAGUUAGACAAAAUAGCUUGAAAAAUGGAAUGUAUUUCUUUGUGGAGGAGUCUCAGACCUAGCACGGAUGUCAUGAAUAGCUGAAAUUAUGUCUGAAUUUGAGAAGAAAAAAACCAACUUCCUCUGAGGUGUGUCUUGCAACUGCAAAUGAGGUAUAACUUGAAUAAUCUUAUCAACUAUGAUGAGCUGCUAUUAGCAUUUGAGUUACAUUUCCCUCGAAAAGUCAGGAGGGGCUGCGGCCCCAGAUUAGGGAUCCCUCCUGACAUGUAAAUAGGUAGCACAUAUGGAAAUGGAGUUGUCCCAAGUGUCACCACCUCGAGGUGAAUGAUAGCUAGAGGUGGAAGAGUGGAGAAUAAAUGUUACUGCAAGAAAAGCUGCUGAAUUUCCUUUUGAGAGACUGAUAAUCCCGCAGGCUUCUACAGAAGCAGCUUUUGAUUAUCAUUGCUGAUGAUAUUAGAAGACAUCUCUGGAGUCUGUCCUUUAAAAAAUGUUUCCCUGGUGCUACUUGAAAACAUAUGGGUUGGGAACUGAAGUGAAAAACUGAUGUUUUGCUAACUCUCUUGGCACGAUGGAGGCUUAAAAAUGAUGUGCCUGAUACCAGAGAUGCAUUUUUAACAAUAAAUGAAAGCAGACUGGAUAAAAAUUCAAAAUACUAAAUGCAGAUGAAAGAGAGGCUGGUUAAAGGACCGGAUGAGAAAAGGUGGAUCAGUUCAGCUGGGCUGAACAGCAGAGCUAUUUGAGUUGCUUCGACACACUGAAGGUGCAGACACACACCUGCAACUUACAGAGGGAGCUGAGUAAUCCAGGUCUAACAGUGCAUGUCCAAAUGCACCACUUUCCCAAGGGCUUCAUCAGGUAACAAGAUGGAGAAGCUCAGGCUGCUGCUCGUAUGGUAACAGCUUGGAUGGGGAAGGAACAGAAAGAUGGAGCCAGGCUUCUUCAGUCUAGAAUCUAAUCCAUGCCAGACAGUGGUCUGUAGAUGGCUGCGGUAUCUAACACAGGCACAGCACCUGGAGGGAAGUUCAUGCCCCCCAAUGGCUCUUAUCCAUAAAACUAAACCUAUUUCCAGACAACAUAUGUUAAUCCUCAGAAGAUGUUGUGUACUGGAAUAAGUGUGUCUUAUACUGGAGCUGGAUGAGGUUAGUUUUGCUGAUUCAGUAGAAUCACAGAAUCAUUAAGGUUGGAAGAGACCUCCAAGAUCAUCCAGUACAACUGCCCACCUGCCACCACUAUUCCCCCAUUAAACCAUGUCCCUAAAUACCACAUGUACAUGUUUCCUGAGCACCUCCAGGGACUGUAACUUCACCACCUCCCCAGGCAACCUGUUCCAGCACCUGACCACUUUUUUGGAGAAGAAAUUUUUCCUAACCUGAAAAGGUUGGAUAGGUUAUAAAGACCAACCAACCAAACACAAAAAAACAUUAUGCUGAUGCCACUAUAAUGUCUUCACUGUGAAAAAUGCUGGCCAUCAACAAGGGAAAAGCUAGAUAGGCUUCAUCCCAUCAGCUCCACCAACUGUUAGAAAAUGAAUCUGUUGAAGUUGCUGCAGAAAAACUUCUGAAAAGAAGAUACUUUGGAAAAGUGCUGAAUCUGCAGAAUCAUUGCAUCUCUUGGCUGGUCAUGCAUUUUCUGAGCCUCUGCCAAUAAUUGCAGUUUCUGAAAACUUCUGAAAGCAAACAAGCAUUCCCUUCCACGGCUUUCUGUUCCACCACUUUGCCUCUUUUGGGUCCAUUAGUCAGUACAUGCAUACCCCCACAGUCAGGUGACCAGCAGAUUGGUGCUACAAAACUGCUUUGCCUUCCAGAAUGUCAGGUGAUGAAAUUUAGGAGGCUUGGGUGUAUUCAUAAGAUCAAAUAGCCAACUGCUGACGAGGUAGGUAUCCUGUGCCAGCAUGGGAAGACUCACCACCUACUUAAUUUCUGUAACCAGGUCUGAUAUUUCCCCAGGAAAUGUUUAAUAAAGAUGCCAAAACAUUUUAUUAUACCUGAAUGCCCCUUAAUAAAGAUGCAUUUUUGGUAUAUGAUGGUUACAGUGCCUGCUGAAGCUAUAAAGUUCUGUGGCAUCGUGAAGAAAUGGUAGAUCCUAAAGACAGCUUUUGCUCUUAGCCACAACUAAUUAGCAGUAUCUAUUUCUGAGUUUUCCCCCGCCCUGUUUUAACAAUCUCUAACUAGGAGCUUAACCUCUGUUCCAAAAACUGACGUGGGUAAAAUGCACUUAACAUUGCUCACAAUUCUUACAACAGACAGAACAGGUUUUGCAUUUGGCUACACAGAGAAGUUCUAUUUCAGUGAUUUUAGGUGGUAGGAUUUCUCCAGUUGUGACUCAAGCCAUGACUUCCCAUUAAAAGAAGCCUUUAUGCUUCUUCGUCCAGGAGGCAGGUCACGUUCUAAGACAAUUCAAACUAUUUUAUUCUAGCCUAUGUCUAAAUUGAAUGAUAAAAACUGUUAUCCUUUAUGACCAGCAACCAAUUAACUGACCUGGUGAUAGGGAAUUAAGUCAAUCUUCUUCCUUUGAAACGACAGCUGAAAUAGCAGCGGUACAGUUCUUAGUCUCCUGUUUGAGAGCAGGAGAGGAGGAAGGAUUGGAACAGGAUGACCGACAGACAGAAAUCUUGCCCUUGUUGCAACACCAAAAUGCUUCCCAUUAACUUCUGGAUGCUGAGAUCUCCCCGUCAUGUCACGCUUUCUAGGAAGCCUUCAUAAAAUCAGGAUAAAUGACAGUGGAGAGUGAGGAGUGCUCCCCAGCCCAAUGAAGGAAGAAAAUGGAAUGAAUGUGCAUUAAAUAUGGAAAAAAAUGGAAUGUUUGGAGUAAAUGAGCUUCCACAGCUCACUUUUCCAGGCACAAUGCUCUCAUGGCUGCCAUAUGUGACAUGCUUUGUUGGAUCCUUCAGGACAACUCAGUCUCAGCUAGAAGAGAUUGCACCGAGCAAAUUAGUUGGUGAUGCUUAGAAUCCAUUCUGUGCUGCUUCGUGGACAGCCCUAAACCCUGCAUACAUGGUUGGUGCAGAACUGGGAGGUCACAAAACCAGCUACCAGAAACAUACCUGAGGCAACAAAGAAAUGAAUUCACGUCCGGCUACUGAGGGAAAAGUGCCAGUUAUUUGUGUAGUUAUGUACAACUGCUGCCCAGAAGUACUGCAAAGUGUCAAAUGUAAAUGCAGAGUGCAGAGAAGAUGUUGGUCCUACUGGCAGGGUCCUUCACAGCGCUCCCAAGUGCCAACAUCUAAGAACCAAGCUGGACUGGACACCAGGGUAAUGCCAAAGAGUGUUCACAGAUGGGCACAGUACAGGCAAAUGAAUGCUAAAGAAAAUCUGGUGGAUGAUGUGACUCUUCUUAACAAAGGAACUAUUGUUUGUUUUGCCCAAUUCUGCCCCCUGGAGCUUUCAUCUGAGCCUUGGGAAAGCAAGCUGCCGUGUCCAGCACUGCUCCUGGCUGCUCUCUCCUUGCUGUCCCUGCCUGGUUCCCUCAGUGCAUUCUCCAACACUUGAAAAUUCACCCGACUUGUGACUCACAUUUUAAUCUUAUCCAAGUCACAAUGUUUAUUUCACAGGAUGCCCAAUUAAACAGUAAUUCAGCCUGCUCUGGAGUUGUUUCCUUCCCAUAUGGUGAUUGGUAUAACCUGAAUAAUGUAGGAAGCACAGAAGAAAAGGCAGAAAAGAACUUCAGUGAUAUUGGGAGAACAAGCUACAACUUCUCCCACUGAAGAAGAGUGGAAAAGAGCAUGCACAGAAGUGUUAACAUGGGUCAUCAUUUCUGAUGCUCCCUGACUCCUAAGAAGAGGAGGGAAGGAUUUCAGACUGGGUAUCAGGAAAAACUUCUUCCUUUAAAAGAGUGGUCAGGAGAACAGGCUGCCCAGGGAGUCACAGUCCCUGGAGGCGUCCAAGAAACACACAGAUGUUGUACUGAGGGACAUGGUUUAGUGGACAAGCAUUGGUGAUAGGUGGAUGGUUGCACUGGAUGAUCUUGGAGGUCUUUUCCAACAUUGGUGAUUCUAUGAUUCCAAGAUGGUGCUACCUGGGCAUGCAUAACAGACUCCCCUUAAGCCUGGGGAGCAGGAUCAGGAGUGAGGCUGCAAUUCACACUAAAUAAAAGAAAAUCCAUGGCCUCACUUUCCCUGUCCCACUUCUGCCCUCCACUGUAGCUACUGCAGGAAUGCCUGUUCCUUGCACCUUGCAUCCAAGGUGAGUGCUGGAGCUCCACACUCUGUAAGGUGAGGAGGAAGGUCCUGACUUCACUAGCUGCACGCUAAAGUCCAGGAGUCCUAAAAACUUAAAGGGGUUUUUAGCAUGGCACAGACCUGCAUGCUUCUUCAGGCCUUUCAUGCUCACGCAGCAGGGCACUGCCAUGCUACCCACAUAGACUUGCUCUUUUUGCUAUCUGCUCCUCCAGGGGCGAUUGCAGCACUCAUCUGCAGCACUCCAGGCUCACGCUGGAGGUGUGGAAAUAGAGACAGUGUUCUUCCCAAAGAAAUUUUCAAUGUGCUUUACUGAGACUUUCUAAAAAAAUAUAGAUUAAUUGUGAUAAUUAAAUUUCCCUCUGAGUGAUUUCUUUGAUAAAUGGGUCUAGUUAGGACUUUCAAUUAAGCACCAGGCCCUGCUGUGAAGUCAGACAGAGCUUCGUGUUUCAGGCAUUUAUUGCCUCAUUUACACAGAGACAAUAUGAAUUAUUUCAUGUUACGCUGUUUUCUUUAUGUCUUUUUUUUUUUUUUUUUAACACAGGUAUUAGAAUUCCUAUUAACCCUUCAAUCAGGAGCCAAUUAAAAAAAGAUGGUCACCAAUUUUUAAUCAUUUUGUGAUGGUUUAAUAAGCCUCCUGGAAUCCCUCUUCUGUCCAUACCGCAGCUCUCUGCUGCAUAAACUCACUGGUUUGUUGCUGUGCAGUUUCUCACAGGCUCCCAGGUGGUGAUAAAAGGAUAUGAAAAUAACAUCAAGUGGGGAAGAAAAGACAUUGACCCCAAAGACUCUGUUAUGACGGAUGGUGGUAAUAUGCAACCAUUUGGGGAACUUCUGUGUUUUUGCCUUGCCCAAAAUUCGGAGUAUAUGUUCAGGACUGCCUGGAGAAUUUCAGCUGCUGGGGGGCACUCCACCUUGAAUGCUGUUGUGCUCUUAAAGUUAUAUCCGUGCACUGGAGCAGAGCUGCAUGGCCAUUUUGAGCAUGGAAUUAGUUAAGAUACACAGUUUGUACCUUUUUACUAUGAAACUGGGAUUUUUAGCUUGUUUUUCUGGUUACUGGUAUUGAUGGUGUUCACCCAUGUAAUUGCUAAGCACUUUUUCUAGCCAUGAAGAGCAAGCAGUCCAAUAAUUUAAUAAUGAUAAUUUAAAAAAAAACACAAUCAAACAAAACUAAUCCAAAAGAGGGUCUAUUUUUACUACAGCAUCCACAUCUAGACACCAGCAUUCAUUGUCAUUGAUAACAGAGAAGAAAAAAGUCUCCUAGACUUAGGAAAUGGUUUUAAAUUUUUAUGAGCUCUCUGUAAUGCCAUCCUCAGCUACUCUAGCUAAGAUGAAAUUGCAAGGUUUACCCACUGAUGUGCUUUGAGAAAUAAAUCAGAAACUAAUUGUCUGACAUUAGAGAAGAACUUGUUUUUACCUCCUCCCACCCUACUCAACAUAACUAUUUCUGUUUCCUUUAUACCGUGUAGUCAGUGUCAAUGCAUGUGAUGAGAGCAUAUAUAUUUAUUAUUACACUUGGACUGAUCUUCAUUUGACCCAUGAAAUUGAUACGCUUCCUGUGUGAGAGUUAGUCAGAGACAUACUUUAAUUCUUAUUAAACUAAACCUUUACCAGGGGGCAGGGAGAUUGCAAGGGAGUCUCUGCCAUGUAAAGAAAUCAUGCUGUCUUUCCGUAUAUGAAUCUAAGCACAGUCGGACCUCAGAUUGUAUAGAGCAAGAGAUGUGAAAUGAGUUAUGAGUACUGAGAGUUUGAAUAAUUGACGGAAAUUUCGAUGCAAUUAAUAAAAAGUAAAGGAUGUGAA